RNAcentral lists this long non-coding RNA (451 nucleotides) under Solanum tuberosum (potato). Its description in RNAcentral is "long non-coding RNA (STUB_LNC004726)". The record is from RNAcentral. Lineage: Eukaryota; Viridiplantae; Streptophyta; Magnoliopsida; Solanales; Solanaceae.
UUUAUUUUUUGGAAGCCAAAUUGACCUUUUCCAUUCUCUAAUUUUCGCCCUCAAUCUCUCCUCAGAUUUUCCCACAACACACGAUUCCAUCUCCAAAUUUUCUCCCCCAUUAUUCUCAACAGAUUCAUUAUUCCAAUUUUGAAUUUCAAACUAAUUCUCUCCCCAUUCAAUCAAUUUCAGAGUUUGAAAUAGGUAAUCUCUUCAUCUUCAACUUCUUUUUUAUCAUUUUUUAAAUAUUUUCUUAUACUUUAUGGAUCAUCCGUCUUUUAGUAUUAGGAUUAUCCAAAUAGUCACAACGAACACUAAUCGAAUCUUUGAUUAUGAAGAUCCUAUAACAAUGACUAAGCAAAGUUCUAAGAAGUCAAAAGCUAAAAAGGAGGCACAUGCAAAAACACCCAAGAAAAGUGGUAGAAGGGUUGCCCCGGCCAUAUCCAGAUUUGCAAUACCAACA